This 594-nucleotide ribosomal RNA is filed under the name uncultured bacterium. RNAcentral describes it as "bacterial SSU rRNA". It matches the Rfam family "Bacterial small subunit ribosomal RNA", at positions 470 to 1059 of the family's 1533-position model. The record is from RNAcentral.
UGACGGUAUCAUAUGAAUAAGCACCGGCUAACUCCGUGCCAGCAGCCGCGGUAAUACGGGGGGUGCAAGCGUUACUCGGAAUCACUGGGCGUAAAGAGCAUGUAGGCGGGUGAAUAAGUUGGAAGUGAAAUCCUAUAGCUUAACUAUAGAACUGCUUCCAAAACUGUUCACCUAGAGUAUGGGAGAGGUAGAUGGAAUUUCUGGUGUAGGGGUAAAAUCUGUAGAGAUCAGAAGGAAUACCGAUUGCGAAGGCGAUCUACUGGAACAUUACUGACGCUCAGAUGCGAAAGCGUGGGGAGCAAACAGGAUUAGAUACCCUGGUAGUCCACGCCCUAAACGAUGUACACUAGUUGUUGCUAUACUAGAUAUGGCAGUAAUGCAGUUAACACUUUAAGUGUACCGCCUGGGGAGUACGGUCGCAAGAUUAAAACUCAAAGGAAUAGACGGGGACCCGCACAAGCGGUGGAGCAUGUGGUUUAAUUCGACGAUACGCGAAAAACCUUACCUGGCCUUGACAUAGUAGGAAUCUUUAAGAGAUUAGAGAGUGCUAGCUUGCUAGAACCUACAUACAGGUGCUGCACGGCUGUCGUCAGC